RNAcentral lists this ribosomal RNA (1052 nucleotides) under Streptomyces parvus. RNAcentral describes it as "partial 23S ribosomal RNA". It matches the Rfam family "Bacterial large subunit ribosomal RNA", at positions 590 to 1527 of the family's 2925-position model. Lineage: Bacteria; Bacillati; Actinomycetota; Actinomycetes; Kitasatosporales; Streptomycetaceae. The record is from RNAcentral.
GUCGUGACUGCGUGCCUUUUGAAGAAUGAGCCUGCGAGUUAGCGGUGUGUAGCGAGGUUAACCCGUGUGGGGAAGCCGUAGCGAAAGCGAGUCCGAACAGGGCGUUUGAGUUGCACGCUCUAGACCCGAAGCGGAGUGAUCUAGCCAUGGGCAGGUUGAAGCGGAGGUAAGACUUCGUGGAGGACCGAACCCACCAGGGUUGAAAACCUGGGGGAUGACCUGUGGUUAGGGGUGAAAGGCCAAUCAAACUCCGUGAUAGCUGGUUCUCCCCGAAAUGCAUUUAGGUGCAGCGUCGUGUGUUUCUUGCCGGAGGUAGAGCACUGGAUAGGCGAUGGGCCCUACCGGGUUACUGACCUUAGCCAAACUCCGAAUGCCGGUAAGUGAGAGCGCGGCAGUGAGACUGUGGGGGAUAAGCUCCAUGGUCGAGAGGGAAACAGCCCAGAGCAUCGACUAAGGCCCCUAAGCGUACGCUAAGUGGGAAAGGAUGUGGAGUCGCAGAGACAACCAGGAGGUUGGCUUAGAAGCAGCCACCCUUGAAAGAGUGCGUAAUAGCUCACUGGUCAAGUGAUUCCGCGCCGACAAUGUAGCGGGGCUCAAGCGUACCGCCGAAGUCGUGUCAUUCAUACACAUAUCCUCAACGGGAGUAUGGAUGGGUAGGGGAGCGUCGUGUGCCGGGUGAAGCAGCCGCGGAAGCGAGUUGUGGACGGUUCACGAGUGAGAAUGCAGGCAUGAGUAGCGAUACACACGUGAGAAACGUGUGCGCCGAUUGACUAAGGGUUCCUGGGUCAAGCUGAUCUGCCCAGGGUAAGUCGGGACCUAAGGCGAGGCCGACAGGCGUAGUCGAUGGACAACCGGUUGAUAUUCCGGUACCCGCUUUGAAACGCCCAGUACUGAAUCAGGCGAUGCUAAGUCCGUGAAGCCGGCCCGAUCUCUUCGGAGUUGAGGGUAGUGGUGGAGCCGAUGAACCAGACUUGUAGUAGGUAAGCGAUGGGGUGACGCAGGAAGGUAGUCCAGCCCGGGCGGUGGUUGUCCCGGGGUAAGGGUGUAGGACG